GUGCUCACUUCAGCAGCACAUACACUAAAAUUGGAACAAUACCAAAAAAAUUAGCAUGGCCCUUGUGCAAGGAUGACAUGCAAAUUUAUGAAGCAUUUCAUAAUUUU
Molecule: small nuclear RNA, 107 nt
Organism: Capra hircus (goat)
Lineage: Eukaryota; Metazoa; Chordata; Mammalia; Artiodactyla; Bovidae
Source: Ensembl